AUCCAGCUAACGAGUCUCAAACAGGACGAAAUGCGUGUCCUAGAU
RNAcentral lists this non-coding RNA (45 nucleotides) under Schistosoma mattheei. The record is from RNAcentral. Lineage: Eukaryota; Metazoa; Platyhelminthes; Trematoda; Strigeidida; Schistosomatidae.